CAUGCUGGACACCUCUGCUGCCCAAAUCGCAUGCAGGAAGGAGAGGAAGAGGACAGAGGAAGCGGUGAGGGUUUGCCACCCAACGGUUUCUCUCUUUUAAAUCUCGGUGCCCUGGGCCUUUUCCCAGACUGGAAAGCCACAAAGAACAUGAUCCGAUUUGAUUGGAAACUAAACGUAUAGUGUUGUAUAGAGAUAACAUGCACCAAAAUCUCAAGAUUAUCCCUUCCCUGUGGGAGCUGCAGGCACUUGUACACAUGACCAGCUCUGUGUAAUGUCCUCCUCCACACACGACAGAAGUAUUUGGGGUGUAAGGGAGUGAAAGAAGGAGAAGGUGGUAAAUUUCUCUUCUUGGCUUUCAUCACUUGAAAGCUGAAGCCCAGCAUGGGCAGAAGGCACUUUUGUUAAAGGCAUGUGCCUUGUAAAGGCUGCUUAUAGUACUGGGCCAUACCUCCUCUUUGGGCUACAGUGAGGCCCUGGGGGAUCUGGCAAAGGCCCUUCUACACAGAAGCCCUCACCCCACAACGACUUGAGCAGAAGCUUCAGUUUCAUACACUGUGAGCACAUCCCCAGAGAACAAACCUGGUGCUAUAAGCAGGACAAAAAAAAAAAAAAAAGCCYUUCAGCUUUCCACCGCGGGAGGACAUCGAGGGGCAGCAGGAGCACAGAAAGCAGCUUCUCUGCUUCUCUCCCUCCUCACCUGCUGCCUUGGUUUCCCUGGCGACGGCAGCUCUCACAGCUCAGGGCUUCUCUGCAGCUGCCAGGCCACAGCGCGGGCUGAAAACACCCCUCUGUGUCCCGGGGGCUCACAAACAGCCCCUGCCCCCACCCGCCCCCCGCGCACAGCUUUCUUGCCCCUCCCGGCUCCUCCCAGCCCAGCCGCCCCUCACGCAGACUCGCCCGCACCCCGGGGCACAGUGGGGCCCUGUGGCAGCAGCGCCCUGGCAGCAGCGUUUCCCCAUCGACUCUCCCCUGCAGCACAACUCCCGCAGCCCAGGGCCAGCCCAGCGUCGCUCCCCCUCGCUCCCUGCCCUCCGCCCCGGCCCGGCCGGCAGCAGCCGCCGCAGGCUCCAGCCACACGAGCACACGCCGGGCCGCAGCGUCGCUCCGGGCUCCCUGCGCAGCAGCCGCCAACACACGCCGCUGCUGCAGCUGCUUCUCCGCGGCCUCGACAGCGGCGCCGUGGUGGGGCCCAGCGGGGGCGGGGCCAGAGGGCACCGGGGCCGGCAGCCCUGGACACGCAGGCCCCGCCCCCUCACAGGGCCGGAAGUGACGCCUCCCGCAGAGCAUGCGCAGUGGCACAGAGGAGGGCGGCUGAGGGGCGGGGCAGGGCAGGGCCGGGGCUGCCCGGGCCCUGCGGGGAGGGAGGGGCCGAGAGGUGGCUGGCUCUCAUAGUGCUUCUCAGCUUCCCCAAAUCCUCCUGCCUCUUUGAAGGCCCUUUCCCCCAAAGAAGGCUCCCUAAAGCCCUCAGUCAGCCAGCCCCUGCCUGUCUCUGCUCUCACCACCCUCCACUCAGCAUCAGAACCC
This 1524-nucleotide long non-coding RNA is filed under the name Apteryx haastii (Great spotted kiwi). Its description in RNAcentral is "lncRNA (ENSAHAG00000001160.1)". Lineage: Eukaryota; Metazoa; Chordata; Aves; Apterygiformes; Apterygidae. The record is from RNAcentral.